GAUGAAGAACGUAGUGAAAUGCGAUAAGUAAUGCGAAUUGCAGAAUCCGUGAGUCAUCGAAUCUUUGAACGCACAUUGCGCCCUCUGGUAUUCCGGAGGGCAUGCCUGUUCGAGCGUCAUUGUCACCCCUCAAGCCCGGCUUGUUGUUGGAUGCAGCGCUUAUCCCGCUCCUCCCAAAGAUAAUGACGGCGUCUGCGACGACUCCUGUACACUGAGCUUUCGGGCACGUACACGGCUAGAAGUCCAGACCCGGUCGCCGUCCCCCCCGCGGGGACACCCAUUACCACAAGGUUGACCUCGGAUCAGGUAGGAAUACCCGCUGAACUUAAGCAUAUCAAUAAGCGGAGGA
Molecule: unclassified non-coding RNA, 349 nt
Filed under: soil metagenome
Description: partial contains 5.8S ribosomal RNA, internal transcribed spacer 2, and large subunit ribosomal RNA
Rfam family: 5.8S ribosomal RNA (bases 1-119)
Source: RNAcentral